RNAcentral lists this ribosomal RNA (504 nucleotides) under uncultured bacterium. RNAcentral's name for it is "partial 16S ribosomal RNA". It matches the Rfam family "Bacterial small subunit ribosomal RNA", at positions 29 to 523 of the family's 1533-position model. The record is from RNAcentral.
AUUGAACGCGGGCGGCAGGCCUGACACAUGCAAGUCGAACGGUAGCACAGAGAGCUUGCUCUCGGGUGACGAGUGGCGGACGGGUGAGUAACGUCUGGGAAACUGCCCGAUGGAGGGGGAUAACUACUGGAAACGGUAGCUAAUACCGCAUAACGUCGCAAGACCAAAGUGGGGGACCUUCGGGCCUCACACCAUCGGAUGUGCCCAGAUGGGAUUAGCUAGUAGGUGGGGUAAUGGCUCACCUAGGCGACGAUCCCUAGCUGGUCUGAGAGGAUGACCAGCCACACUGGAACUGAGACACGGUCCAGACUCCUACGGGAGGCAGCAGUGGGGAAUAUUGCACAAUGGGCGCAAGCCUGAUGCAGCCAUGCCGCGUGUAUGAAGAAGGCCUUCGGGUUGUAAAGUACUUUCAGCGGGGAGGAAGGCGGUGAAGUUAAUAACUUCACCGAUUGACGUUACCCGCAGAAGAAGCACCGGCUAACUCCGUGCCAGCCGCCGCGGUAA